GAUGAACGCUGGCUACAGGCUUAACACAUGCAAGUCGAGGGGAAACGACGGGGAAGCUUGCUUCCCCGGGCGUCGACCGGCGCACGGGUGAGUAACGCGUAUCCAACCUGCCUCUGACUGAGGGAUAACCCGUCGAAAGUCGGCCUAAUACCUCAUGGUAUCGUCUGCGGGCAUCCAACGACGAUUAAAGAUUUCAUCGGUCGGGGAUGGGGAUGCGUCUGAUUAGCUUGUUGGCGGGGUAACGGCCCACCAAGGCUACGAUCAGUAGGGGUUCUGAGAGGAAGGUCCCCCACAUUGGAACUGAGACACGGUCCAAACUCCUACGGGAGGCAGCAGUGAGGAAUAUUGGUCAAUGGGCGAGAGCCUGAACCAGCCAAGUAGCGUGCAGGAAGACGGCCCUAUGGGUUGUAAACUGCUUUUAUGCGGGGAUAAAGUGAGGGACGUGUCCCUCAUUGCAGGUACCGCAUGAAUAAGGACCGGCUAAUUCCGUG
RNAcentral lists this ribosomal RNA (491 nucleotides) under uncultured bacterium. Its description in RNAcentral is "partial 16S ribosomal RNA". It matches the Rfam family "Bacterial small subunit ribosomal RNA", at positions 28 to 507 of the family's 1533-position model. The record is from RNAcentral.